CAAUAGCGUAUAUUAAAGUUGUUGCAGUUAAAAAGCUCGUAGUUGAACUUCAGACCUGGCCGGGCGGUCUACCUCGCGGUAUGUACUAUCUGGCCGGGUCUUACCUCUUGGUGAGCCGGUAUGCCCUUCACUGGGUGUGCCGGGGAACCAGGACCUUUACCUUGAGAAAAUUAGAGUGUUCAAAGCAGGCCUAUGCCCGAAUACAUUAGCAUGGAAUAAUAAAAUAGGACGUGCGGUUCUAUUUUGUUGGUUUCUAGAGUCGCCGUAAUGAUUAAUAGGGAUAGUUGGGGGCAUUCGUAUUCAGUUGCUAGAGGUGAAAUUCUUGGAUUUACUGAAGACGAACUAUUGCGAAAGCAUUUGCCAAGGAUGUUUUCAUUAA
RNAcentral lists this ribosomal RNA (379 nucleotides) under uncultured eukaryote. Its description in RNAcentral is "partial 18S ribosomal RNA". It matches the Rfam family "Eukaryotic small subunit ribosomal RNA", at positions 592 to 976 of the family's 1831-position model. The record is from RNAcentral.